RNA transcript from Candoia aspera, 2351 nucleotides. It is a transcript of the gene named FA complementation group C, with no coding region annotated. NCBI's taxonomy places the organism in Eukaryota, Metazoa, Chordata, Lepidosauria, Squamata, Candoiidae. The transcript has 15 exons. The record is from RefSeq and is a predicted model, not a curated record.
AUCCUCUUCCAGCGGCCAUUGGCUGCAGGGGCUGCCGUUCGCGGCCUCUCCGAAUCUCCCUUGCAAGGAAGGGCCGCGGAGGUUUGAAAGUUGGGCGGGAGGCAGCGCUGGUGACAGGAUGGUUGAAGACAGUAGAAUCUCUAACUUAAGUGUUGAGUUUUGGCUGAACAAGACUCUUGAGUGGGAUCAGCUCACCACUCUAGAAUCACAGCAAGAUGUCUGCCUUCACUUGCCUGAAUUACAGGAAUUUCUCCUGCAGAUUUAUGGAGCUUUGAAACAUAUGAACUCAACAACUGCAGUCCAAGAAUUUCCAUUAAUUGGUCAGUUAUUGGGAAGGCUUUGUUGGAAUCCUUUUGUCAUUGGUUAUGAUGAAUGCCAGAAGAUUCUGAUGUGCUGCUUAUGUUGUCUGUACAGUGGUGAACCACAGAACCCUCUGGAAUUGAAGGCCAACAGCUGGAUACAAAGUUCAUUGUGCCAUCUGCUGUCAUUCUGUGGACUGGGAAAUCAUGAUACUGAUAUUAAUAACUUUAUUUCAACUCUUGGCUUCACAUCAGUAGAUUACUACUCUAAACUCAUUGAAAAUAUAGUCUCAUCAUUAGUGACAGAACUCAGCAGAACCCAGGUUAAUGGAUUUAACGGUCAACAAAACAUCUCUUGUCGAGUAACAUCCAUGUCUCUUCUCUGUGUACCACUUAUAACUUUGCCUGAUAUAAAGCCACUUCUUGAAGCUCUCCUUAGCUAUCACAAUGAUGGAUCACAAGAGCUGCUUCACUCUCAGUUUUUAGAAGCAGUGAAUGAGGCCGUAUUACAGAAAAAUAUCUCCUUAUCUGACUCUGCUGUCCUGCAAUUAUGGCUUCGUCACCUUCCUAGUCUGGAGAAAGCAAUACUACGAAAUGUUGAACAAUUAAUAUCCAGUCAAUCAAUGUCAAUGCAAGAGAUGGCGUGUGUGGUAAGAGAUUCCUUAUUGCACCGAGCUGCAUGUCAUCCAACUAUCUUCAGAACUGUUGAUGAAAUUUUCAAGAAUGCACUGCUGGAAACUGAUGGAGCUCAAGAAAUAAUGACUAUAAUGCAGGUGUUUACACAGUGCUUUGUUCAAGCUUACCAUGAGAAUAAUAAGCAGUUAACAUGGAUUCCAAUGGUUGUGGUGAAGAUUCAUAAGUUUCCACUGAAGGCCUAUUUUCCUUAUAAUUCACGUUCACUUGUGAUGGCUUUCCUUAAACAUCCCUCAGAUUUGCCAGGUACUAGUGUAUAUCAGCAUUUGGACCACCUUGCUGGAAUGCUCAAAACAACAGUAGAGGUCAAGGGUUCUGAGUAAGCAGCAGGUUUCCUUUCUUGUUUUUUAAAAAUUGUCUAAGUUAGUUGUGAGUGAUCUUUUUUUGUAAUUUGUUAACAUGUAUGGGAAACAAGUAAAAACUAUUGUUUUCAAGACAUUAUUUUUGUUGGUGUAAAAUUAACAUUAUUGCAUAUUGCUAUUCCCAUUGAUCUUCUUCAAAUAAAAAAGUUUGCUGGUCUUCAUUUCCAGAUUAAAGCCUUUUGAGAACUUAAGAAUUUAUAUUACAAUAUAAUAUAAGCUGAUACACAUUUUGAUGUUGUUCCAGGUCUUUGGAUGAACUCUUCAACAACUGGUUUUUGUUGAUUCAUUUUGGAGAAUGGGCUGAUCUUGCAGCAAAGCAGUUGCUGUUGUCCCAGGCAGAAUCCUCAAACUUGUUGUGGCUUUUGGUGUUUUACUAUACUCCAAACAAUGAGAAGCAGCAGAGAAUUCAAACAAUGGUAGAAGCUCGAUCUGUAUGUGACUAUCUGACAAGCCUCUCAAGAAUGCCAACCAUUUCUGUUGCAGACCUACAAACUUUAUUCAGCAGCAAAACCAGUGUAAAUCAACCUGUAACUAAACGUAUUGUUAUGCAUCUGAUUAUCAGCUUUGUGCUAUUUACUUCUAAUGGACACACAAUAGCCAGAGAAUUGAUUGCACAUUUUAUAGCUGGAGGCAGUGAAAUCCCAGAAGUAACUGGACUUCUUACCCGUAUCUCAAAUACAGCUAGCCAACUUGGAGUGAAAUAUCAAUGCUCUGUAAAGCUAGCAAAUGAUCUCCUCCAGGAAUUCCAGUAGUUUAGUACUUAUUCAAAACUGUGGAGUGGAAGGAGAGAAGGCAGCUGUUUUCAAUGGGCAUUUUCUGAAAGACUGGAAGAGAAAUCUGUUAUUUGCAAUCUACAUACUAUGACUUUCAUCUGAUUUUUCUACAUUUGCAGGAGUAUCUUGUUCAAGUUUAUUCAGAGGUGCCUUGUAAAGCUGAAAACAAAAUACAAGCAUACCAGAGAUAAUCUAUAUAAUUUAACACAAAUAAACUUUAUAUU